CCCUAAACAGCAACCACUUAAUUUUUUAUAAUUUCUUUAUCUAAGGAGGACGUGUCCAUUUAAGAUUUUAUAAUCUUUCUCCACUCUCUCUCUACAUCUUCUCACUUUUACAAGUAGCCCCUUGAUGUGAUCCGAAAUACGUCUCAAAAUUGCAAUGAAUUAAUGCAUGUUGGCAAGAGGUCGAGUUUGAGAUUUGAGCUAAGUUGGGCGCCAAUUGGAGAUAAUAAAAUCAUGCAAUUAAUUACUCAAGCUAUGGGAGACAAAAUGAUGAAGUUUACAAACCAAGGACUAAGUUUAAUGUUGGAGCCGAGGUCCAAAUCAUUUGGGAGCGGCUUGUUAAUUUCAGCCGAACACGGAGCCAAAAUUCAUAACUAUGCGACUGCAUAGUUAUCUAAGGAAUGCGACCGCAAUAGAUCAUGCAAGGAUUUUAUGGGCAGCAAGGGUUUCUUCUAUGCGACCGAAUAGAAAUACUCUAUGCUGCUGCAUAGAUCAAAAUCGAGGCAGAAUCUUUUAUUUCGUGCAAGUUUUCUAUUUUCACUAGAAUUCUAUUUUAGGUGAUAUUUUUGUGAUCCUUAAUCAAUAUUUUCCGUUUUUAAUUAGUUUUUAGGUUUUAGUAUAAAUAGGGAUAUUAUUUUCAUUGUUAA
Molecule: long non-coding RNA, 644 nt
Filed under: Olea europaea subsp. europaea
Lineage: Eukaryota; Viridiplantae; Streptophyta; Magnoliopsida; Lamiales; Oleaceae
Source: RNAcentral